This 67-nucleotide transfer RNA is filed under the name Marmota monax (woodchuck). RNAcentral's name for it is "tRNA.Ala". The record is from RNAcentral. Lineage: Eukaryota; Metazoa; Chordata; Mammalia; Rodentia; Sciuridae.
GGUUGUGGCUCAAUGGUAGAGCAUUUGCCUGGCACACAUGGGACACUGGUUUCGAUCCUCAGCACCA